Molecule: ribosomal RNA, 2712 nt
Filed under: Klebsiella pneumoniae
Lineage: Bacteria; Pseudomonadati; Pseudomonadota; Gammaproteobacteria; Enterobacterales; Enterobacteriaceae
Description: bacterial LSU rRNA
Rfam family: Bacterial large subunit ribosomal RNA
Source: RNAcentral
CCGGCGAUGUCCGAAUGGGGAAACCCAGUGCAAUUCGUUGCACUAUCGUUAACUGAAUACAUAGGUUAACGAGGCGAACCGGGGGAACUGAAACAUCUAAGUACCCCGAGGAAAAGAAAUCAACCGAGAUUCCCCCAGUAGCGGCGAGCGAACGGGGAGCAGCCCAGAGUCUGAAUCAGCUUGUGUGUUAGUGGAACGGUCUGGAAAGUCCGACGGUACAGGGUGAUAGUCCCGUACACCAAAAUGCACAGGCUGUGAACUCGAAGAGUAGGGCGGGACACGUGGUAUCCUGUCUGAAUAUGGGGGGACCAUCCUCCAAGGCUAAAUACUCCUGACUGACCGAUAGUGAACCAGUACCGUGAGGGAAAGGCGAAAAGAACCCCGGCGAGGGGAGUGAAAAAGAACCUGAAACCGUGUACGUACAAGCAGUGGGAGCACCUUCGGGUGUGACUGCGUACCUUUUGUAUAAUGGGUCAGCGACUUAUAUUCUGUAGCAAGGUUAACCGUAUAGGGGAGCCGCAGGGAAACCGAGUCUUAACUGGGCGUUAAGUUGCAGGGUAUAGACCCGAAACCCGGUGAUCUAGCCAUGGGCAGGUUGAAGGUUGGGUAACACUAACUGGAGGACCGAACCGACUAAUGUUGAAAAAUUAGCGGAUGACUUGUGGCUGGGGGUGAAAGGCCAAUCAAACCGGGAGAUAGCUGGUUCUCCCCGAAAGCUAUUUAGGUAGCGCCUCGUGAAUUCAUCUUCGGGGGUAGAGCACUGUUUCGGCUAGGGGGUCAUCCCGACUUACCAACCCGAUGCAAACUACGAAUACCGAAGAAUGUUAUCACGGGAGACACACGGCGGGUGCUAACGUCCGUCGUGAAGAGGGAAACAACCCAGACCGCCAGCUAAGGUCCCAAAGUCAUGGUUAAGUGGGAAACGAUGUGGGAAGGCACAGACAGCCAGGAUGUUGGCUUAGAAGCAGCCAUCAUUUAAAGAAAGCGUAAUAGCUCACUGGUCGAGUCGGCCUGCGCGGAAGAUGUAACGGGGCUAAACCAUGCACCGAAGCUGCGGCAGCGACACUAUGUGUUGUUGGGUAGGGGAGCGUUCUGUAAGCCUGCGAAGGUGACCUGUGAGGGUUGCUGGAGGUAUCAGAAGUGCGAAUGCUGACAUAAGUAACGAUAAAGCGGGUGAAAAGCCCGCUCGCCGGAAGACCAAGGGUUCCUGUCCAACGUUAAUCGGGGCAGGGUGAGUCGACCCCUAAGGCGAGGCCGAAAGGCGUAGUCGAUGGGAAACAGGUUAAUAUUCCUGUACUUGGUGUUACUGCGAAGGGGGGACGGAGAAGGCUAUGUUAGCCGGGCGACGGUUGUCCCGGUUUAAGCAUGUAGGCUGGUUAUCCAGGCAAAUCCGGAUAAUCAAGGCUGAGGUGUGAUGACGAGGCACUACGGUGCUGAAGUAACAAAUGCCCUGCUUCCAGGAAAAGCCUCUAAGCAUCAGGUAACAUUAAAUCGUACCCCAAACCGACACAGGUGGUCAGGUAGAGAAUACCAAGGCGCUUGAGAGAACUCGGGUGAAGGAACUAGGCAAAAUGGUGCCGUAACUUCGGGAGAAGGCACGCUGGUGUGUAGGUGAAGUCCCUGCGGAUGGAGCUGAGACCAGUCGAAGAUACCAGCUGGCUGCAACUGUUUAUUAAAAACACAGCACUGUGCAAACACGAAAGUGGACGUAUACGGUGUGACGCCUGCCCGGUGCCGGAAGGUUAAUUGAUGGGGUUAUCCGUAAGGAGAAGCUCUUGAUCGAAGCCCCGGUAAACGGCGGCCGUAACUAUAACGGUCCUAAGGUAGCGAAAUUCCUUGUCGGGUAAGUUCCGACCUGCACGAAUGGCGUAAUGAUGGCCAGGCUGUCUCCACCCGAGACUCAGUGAAAUUGAACUCGCUGUGAAGAUGCAGUGUACCCGCGGCAAGACGGAAAGACCCCGUGAACCUUUACUAUAGCUUGACACUGAACAUUGAGCCUUGAUGUGUAGGAUAGGUGGGAGGCUUUGAAGCGUGGACGCCAGUCUGCGUGGAGCCAACCUUGAAAUACCACCCUUUAAUGUUUGAUGUUCUAACGUUGGCCCCUGACCGGGGUUGCGGACAGUGUCUGGUGGGUAGUUUGACUGGGGCGGUCUCCUCCCAAAGCGUAACGGAGGAGCACGAAGGUUAGCUAAUCCUGGUCGGACAUCAGGAGGUUAGUGCAAUGGCAUAAGCUAGCUUGACUGCGAGCGUGACGGCGCGAGCAGGUGCGAAAGCAGGUCAUAGUGAUCCGGUGGUUCUGAAUGGAAGGGCCAUCGCUCAACGGAUAAAAGGUACUCCGGGGAUAACAGGCUGAUACCGCCCAAGAGUUCAUAUCGACGGCGGUGUUUGGCACCUCGAUGUCGGCUCAUCACAUCCUGGGGCUGAAGUAGGUCCCAAGGGUAUGGCUGUUCGCCAUUUAAAGUGGUACGCGAGCUGGGUUUAGAACGUCGUGAGACAGUUCGGUCCCUAUCUGCCGUGGGCGCUGGAGAAUUGAGGGGGGCUGCUCCUAGUACGAGAGGACCGGAGUGGACGCAUCACUGGUGUUCGGGUUGUCAUGCCAAUGGCACUGCCCGGUAGCUAAAUGCGGAAGAGAUAAGUGCUGAAAGCAUCUAAGCACGAAACUUGCCCCGAGAUGAGUUCUCCCUGAGACUUUAAGUCUCCUGAAGGAACGUU